UUUAUCCACCAUGAAAUCAAGUUUUCUUCACUUUCCUUUCCAUGUUUUCUUUUCCUUUCUUCUCCAAACUUCUUGAGCACUAAAUUUACAGCCUUUAACCUCAAUUUCUAGCACAUCUAAACCCUAGGAGGAGAAGAAAGAAAAAGAGAGAAAGGAAGAAAAAGCUUGGUUUUGGUGAUUCAAGCAAGGAACGGAAGUGCAAAGAUAAGGUUGGAGAAUUGUGGUGGCGUGCCAGAGUAAAUAACGAGCGACAGGCCAGUGAAAAUAGUUAGAGACAACUCCGAACGAAUAGCGACUUAAUAUCUCAUUGUUGCCAAGGAGUGCACAUGACUUGAGGACCGGUGGGGGAUUCUAGCCGUGUGCGGAUGUAGGGAGUGCACAUGAGCUGAUGACGACCCAGCUAUGUGCGAGUAGGGUGUGCCCAUGAUGAUGAUGAUGAUGAU
Molecule: non-coding RNA, 443 nt
Organism: Theobroma cacao (cacao)
Lineage: Eukaryota; Viridiplantae; Streptophyta; Magnoliopsida; Malvales; Malvaceae
Source: RefSeq, a predicted model, not a curated record